This 825-nucleotide ribosomal RNA is filed under the name Bacillus pumilus. Its description in RNAcentral is "bacterial SSU rRNA". It matches the Rfam family "Bacterial small subunit ribosomal RNA", at positions 28 to 842 of the family's 1533-position model. The record is from RNAcentral. Lineage: Bacteria; Bacillati; Bacillota; Bacilli; Caryophanales; Bacillaceae.
AGUCGACGCUGGCGGCGUGCCUAAUACAUGCAAGUCGAGCGGACAGAAGGGAGCUUGCUCCCGGAUGUUAGCGGCGGACGGGUGAGUAACACGUGGGUAACCUGCCUGUAAGACUGGGAUAACUCCGGGAAACCGGAGCUAAUACCGGAUAGUUCCUUGAACCGCAUGGUUCAAGGAUGAAAGACGGUUUCGGCUGUCACUUACAGAUGGACCCGCGGCGCAUUAGCUAGUUGGUGGGGUAAUGGCUCACCAAGGCGACGAUGCGUAGCCGACCUGAGAGGGUGAUCGGCCACACUGGGACUGAGACACGGCCCAGACUCCUACGGGAGGCAGCAGUAGGGAAUCUUCCGCAAUGGACGAAAGUCUGACGGAGCAACGCCGCGUGAGUGAUGAAGGUUUUCGGAUCGUAAAGCUCUGUUGUUAGGGAAGAACAAGUGCGAGAGUAACUGCUCGCACCUUGACGGUACCUAACCAGAAAGCCACGGCUAACUACGUGCCAGCAGCCGCGGUAAUACGUAGGUGGCAAGCGUUGUCCGGAAUUAUUGGGCGUAAAGGGCUCGCAGGCGGUUUCUUAAGUCUGAUGUGAAAGCCCCCGGCUCAACCGGGGAGGGUCAUUGGAAACUGGGAAACUUGAGUGCAGAAGAGGAGAGUGAAUUCCACGUGUAGCGGUUGAAAUGCGUAAAAAUGUGGAAGGAACACCAGUGGCCGAAGGCGACUCUCUGACUGAACUGACACUGAAGGAGCGAACCCGUCGGGGCUAACCGGAUUAAUAUCCUGGUAGUCACGCCGGUACCGAUCGUGGUAGUGUAAGCGGAUUCCCCCCUU